Molecule: ribosomal RNA, 435 nt
Filed under: uncultured bacterium
Lineage: Bacteria
Description: partial 16S ribosomal RNA
Rfam family: Bacterial small subunit ribosomal RNA
Source: RNAcentral
GAUGGACGCUGGCGGUAUGCCUAACACAUGCAAGUCGAACGGACUCUUCGGAGUUAGUGGCGGACGGGUGAGUAACGCGUGAGAAUCUGGCUUUGGGUUCGGGACAACCACUGGAAACGGUGGCUAAUACCGGAUGUGCCGAGAGGUAAAAGAGAAAUUGCCUGAAGAUGAGCUCGCGUCUGAUUAGCUAGUUGGUGAGGUAAAGGCUCACCAAGGCAGCGAUCAGUAGCUGGUCUGAGAGGAUGACCAGCCACACUGGGACUGAGACACGGCCCAGACUCCUACGGGAGGCAGCAGUGGGGAAUUUUCCGCAAUGGGCGAAAGCCUGACGGAGCAAUACCGCGUGAGGGAAGAAGGCUCUUGGGUUGUAAACCUCUUUUCUUAGGGAAGAACAAAAUGACGGUACCUAAGGAAUCAGCAUCGGCUAACUCCGUG